This is a long non-coding RNA of Megalobrama amblycephala (Wuchang bream), 237 nucleotides long. RefSeq lists it as uncharacterized. The record is from RefSeq and is a predicted model, not a curated record. The transcript has 3 exons. NCBI's taxonomy places the organism in Eukaryota, Metazoa, Chordata, Actinopteri, Cypriniformes, Xenocyprididae.
UGUAGUUUCGAUUUUCAUGUUGGUGAUCUGUUGAUAAAAGUGAGUUACACGGUCAGAUGGUCUGACUUUAUUCAAAUACCUUAGGCUGCUUAUUGGCUUUCGUUGUUUCUUUCCGUGCUGUGUGUGAGAUGAAAUGAGGUCCAAAGAAAAAACAGCUGUGCUAAACCAAAGUCUCAACCUGGACUCUGAUGUAAAAACACUGAAAAGAUGUUUCUCAUGGCCACCCUUCAGGCAAAG